Molecule: long non-coding RNA, 1074 nt
Organism: Triplophysa rosa
Lineage: Eukaryota; Metazoa; Chordata; Actinopteri; Cypriniformes; Nemacheilidae
Exons: 3
Source: RefSeq, a predicted model, not a curated record
GUGUGUGUUUCUACAGUCGGAGAGCGAGGAGAAGUCAAUAACAUAUGACAACAUGGGACCUAACGUGUGUAUGGGGGACCACAAGCCUGUCUACCUGUACUUCCGGUUAACCUUCGGGGCCGGAAAACAUGCCAAUAAACACAAGUGUUGUGUUGUGCAGUGAUGUGUCAGGCGAAUGGUGCCAAAGGUUGGAGAAGAUUUCAUGAAAAGGUCCCCUGUGAGAAACUCAGGCACGGAGGGAUGGACACACACACACACACACACACACACACACACACACACACACAGAGGACCCUGUAAAGACUCUUCAGCAGGACUGACCAGUCGCAUUAGUCGCAGUGCAUGCAACACAUCCAUAGUAACCACACUCUGACAUGAAUGCUUUAAUGUCAAAAUCAUCAUGGACAUUUACUGAACACACACACGGCUUCUGCACCCUGUCAGGUGGGACAGUUCCUCUAAACGCAGAAUGCAUUCUGCCAAACGCAGCGCUGCGUUUCACCUAUAAACACCAUAAGACUGUAACGGCCUUGUUUCCAAAACUCUAAUAGAAACACUCUACGAAUUUUAAAACACGUACGUGCAAGUUUUAGAUAUGCCUCUAUAACGUAUGAGCUACUUCCAUAUAGUAUGUAAGAUGUUUUAAAAAGUGCAAUGCAAAAACUAUUGUUGUAUCUCUCUAAAGCUGUAGGUUUAUUUGUACAUUGGAUUAUGAUAUAUAGUGUGAUGACUUUUAGGGCUGUUUUCUCUUUCUCUCUCUUAGAAUAGACUUUACAUUCUGUUUGAUUUCUUAGUUUUCUUUUUAUCUUGUGUUUUGAUUUGUUGUUACUGUCGUAACACUCUGCCAAGUCUCAUUUUAUAUACUUUUAAAAGAGAUCAUUUAUUAUCACUACCAAAAUUGUUACGCUGACAUAUGAAUAUGACAGACAAGCUUUGAGGUUUUGUCAGUAUUUGAAUAGACUAAAUCGACAUCAUCAUCAUCUAAAUAUGCCAAUGUUAUUGAAAUAUAGCCAAUAUAAAAUGGUUUUUAUUUUUUCCUUUAAGCAGUGCCAUAAAUCAUGUGAGUAGAUAAGA